Molecule: ribosomal RNA, 513 nt
Filed under: uncultured bacterium
Lineage: Bacteria
Description: bacterial SSU rRNA
Rfam family: Bacterial small subunit ribosomal RNA
Source: RNAcentral
AGAGUUUGAUCCUGGCCUUAGGCAAACGCUGGCGGCGUGCCUAACGACAUGCAAGUCGAACGAAGCAGCGGGGAAAGAGACUUCGGUCAAUGGAACCGUUGACUUAGUGGCGGAACGGGUGAGUAAUGCAUGAGCAACCUGCCCUGGAGAGGGGGACAACAGCUGGAAACGGCUGCUAAUACCGCAUGAAGUUAUUGGGAGGCAUCUCCCGGUAACCAAAGAUUUAUCGCUCUGGGAUGGGCUCAUGUCUGAUUAGAUAGUUGGCGGGGCAACGGCCCACCAAGUCUACGAUCAGUAGCCGGACUGAGAGGUUGAACGGCCACAUUGGACUGAGAUACGGCCCAGACUCCUACGGGAGGCAGCAGUGGGGAAUAUUGGGCAAUGGGCGCAAGCCUGACCCAGCAACGCCGCGUGAAGGAAGAAGGCUUUCGGGUUGUAAACUUCUUUUAUCAGGGACGAAGUAGUGACGGUACCUGAUGAAUAAGCCACGGCUAACUACGUGCCAGCAGCCGC